AUGGCGGCCAACGUGGGGGAGUCCACGAGCGGCAGCGGCAGCAGCGUGGCUGGCGACGGCGGGGGCAGCUUCGAGUGCAACAUAUGCUUCGAGCUGCCGCAGGAGCCCAUCGUCACGCUCUGCGGCCACCUCUUCUGCUGGCCCUGCCUCUACAAGUGGCUGCACAUCCACUCGCACUCGCCCGAGUGCCCCGUCUGCAAGGCCGUCGUCGAGGAGGACAAGCUCGUCCCGCUCUACGGCCGCGGCAAGGACCGCGUCGACCCCAGGUCCAAGGGCGUGCCGGCCGGGGCCGAGAUCCCCAACCGGCCGACCGGGCAGCGGCCUGCCACGGCCCCGCAGGCAGAUCCCAACAACCACUUCCCUAAUGCGAACCCUAACCCCUGGUUCAUGGGGGGAGGGGGCGUCCCUCUGGCCAACGCGCGGUGGGGGAACUACACCUUCUCGGCCGCGUUCGGCGGCCUGUUCCCGCUGCUGAGCUUCCAGGUGCAUGGAUUCCCGGACGCGGCCGCGUACGGGCAGCCUGCCGGGUUUCCCUAUGGGUACGGCCAUGGCCAUGGCCACGGGCAUGCUUUCCAUGGCGGGCACGCCCACGCCGCCGCCCCCCGGCACGCGCCGCCCGGGCAGCAGCAGCAGCAGCAGCAGGCGGACGUGUACCUCAAGGCGCUGCUCAUCCUGGUUGGCUUUCUCGUGAUCGCAAGCCUCAUCACAUUCUAG
This 714-nucleotide ribosomal RNA is filed under the name Triticum aestivum (bread wheat). Its description in RNAcentral is "partial small subunit ribosomal RNA". The record is from RNAcentral. Lineage: Eukaryota; Viridiplantae; Streptophyta; Magnoliopsida; Poales; Poaceae.